GGGGUUGUGGCUCAGUGGUAGAGCAUUUGCCUCACAUGCAUGAGGCACUGAGUUCAAUCCUCAGCACCA
Molecule: transfer RNA, 69 nt
Filed under: Ictidomys tridecemlineatus (thirteen-lined ground squirrel)
Lineage: Eukaryota; Metazoa; Chordata; Mammalia; Rodentia; Sciuridae
Description: Spermophilus tridecemlineatus (thirteen-lined ground squirrel) tRNA
Rfam family: tRNA
About the family: Transfer RNA (tRNA) molecules are approximately 80 nucleotides in length. Their secondary structure includes four short double-helical elements and three loops (D, anti-codon, and T loops).
Source: Rfam by way of RNAcentral